Molecule: ribosomal RNA, 1213 nt
Filed under: uncultured bacterium
Lineage: Bacteria
Description: bacterial SSU rRNA
Rfam family: Bacterial small subunit ribosomal RNA
Source: RNAcentral
AGGGUAAAGCCUGCAAGGGCGCUCUGGGAUGAGUCUGCGGCCUAUCAGGUAGUUGGUGGGGUAAAAGCCUACCAAGCCUACGACGGGUAGCUGGUCUCAUGAGGAUGACUAGCCAGAGGGGGACUGAGACACGGCCCCCACUCCUACGGGAGGCAGCAAUCAGGAAUAGUCGGCAAUGGGCGAAAGCCUGACCGCGCGAUACCGCGUGUAGGAUGAAGCAUCAAAAGUGUGUAAACUACUGUGGCGAGGGAUGAAAUCAAUGACAGUACCUCGCUAGAAAGGGGCCGCUAACUGCGUGCCAGAGGCGUCGGUAAUACGUGGGCCCCAAGCGUUAUCCGGUUUUAUUGGGCGUAAAGGGUCGUGUAGGUGGUUGGGUAAGUUACUCUUUAAAUAUCUAGGCUCAACCUAGGGAAUGGGAGUAAUACUGCUCUGACUUUGAAUAUUUUCAAGGGUAAGCGGAACUGAGGGAGGAGUAGUGUAAUGCGUUGAUACCCUCGGGAACACUCGUGGCGAAGGCGGCUUACUGGGAAGAUAUUGACACUGAGACACGAAAGCUAGGGGAGCGAAGCAGAUUAGAGACCUGCGUAGUCCUAGCCGUAAACGCAUGCCUGCUGGCUGCAUGAUUUGAUCCGCAAGGAUCAUUUCGUGUGGCGAAGCUAACGCGUUAAGCAGGCCGCCUGGGAAGUACGACCGCAAGGUUAAAACUCAAAGGAAUUGGCGGGGAGGCACACAACCAGAGGAACAUGUUGUUUAAUUCGAUACAAACCGAAGAACCUCACCAGGGUUUGACAUGCUAGAGUUCUAUCCAGCAGAAACGUUGGAGAUCCGCAAGGAGGCUAGCAAAGGUGCUGCAUGGCUGUCGUCAGUUCGUACCGUGAGGUGUGCCCUUAAGUGGGACAACGAACGCAACCCUUACCGUGUGUUACAAGUGUCACAUGGAACGGCCCUACCUUUUGGUGGGGAGGAAGGUGAGGCAGACGUCAAGUCAGCAUGGUCCGUAUGCCCUGGGCUACAAACAUGUUACAAUGAAUGUUACAAUGAGCUGCAAGCCGGCAACGGCAAGCAAAUCUCUCAUAAAAGCAUUCUCAGUGGGGAUUAGAGUCUGCAACUCGACUCUAUGAACGCGGAUUUGGUAGUAAUCGCGGGUCAGCUAUACCGCGGUGAAUACGUUCUUGCCUCUUGCACACACCGCCCGUCAAACAAACAAAGUUGG